This is an unclassified non-coding RNA of Piliocolobus tephrosceles (Ugandan red Colobus), 79 nucleotides long. It matches the Rfam family "Y RNA". From Rfam's summary of the family: Y RNAs are components of the Ro ribonucleoprotein particle (Ro RNP), in association with Ro60 and La proteins. The Y RNAs and Ro60 and La proteins are well conserved, but the function of the Ro RNP is not known. In humans the RNA component can be one of four small RNAs -- hY1, hY3, hY4 and hY5. NCBI's taxonomy places the organism in Eukaryota, Metazoa, Chordata, Mammalia, Primates, Cercopithecidae. The record is from Ensembl.
AGCUGGUCUGAGUGUUGUGGGUUAUUGCUAAGCUGACUUAACAUUGUCUCCCCACACAACCAUGCUUGAGUAGCAUAAA